CGUAGGGUGCAAGCGUUAAUCGGAAUUACUGGGCGUAAAGCGUGCGCAGGCGGCUUUGCAAGACAGAUGUGAAAUCCCCGGGCUUAACCUGGGAACUGCAUUUGUGACUGCAUGGUUGGAGUGCGGCAGAGGGGGAUGGAAUUCCGCGUGUAGCAGUGAAAUGCGUAGAUAUGCGGAGGAACACCGAUGGCGAAGGCAAUCCCCUGGGCCUGCACUGACGCUCAUGCACGAAAGCGUGGGGAGCAAACAGGAUUAGAUACCCUGGUAGUCCGCGCCCUAAACGAUGUCAACUGGUUGUUGGACGGCUUGCUGUUCAGUAACGAAGCUAACGCGUGAAGUUGACCGCCUGGGGAGUACGGCCGCAAGGUUG
RNAcentral lists this ribosomal RNA (370 nucleotides) under uncultured organism. Its description in RNAcentral is "bacterial SSU rRNA". It matches the Rfam family "Bacterial small subunit ribosomal RNA", at positions 526 to 896 of the family's 1533-position model. The record is from RNAcentral.